GUGGUGUUGAUCUGAAUAAAUCUCUAGGAGGAGUUCGUUAAAGUACAACCCCUGUAAAUGGCAUAAACGACACAAAUUUUGCAGAGAAAAUUCAAAAUAACUGACUUCCUGUUGGGAUUCGAAUUUCGUACCAAGAGACUUUUUUGUAGGUGUUGGUGUGUUACAUGUGUGUACCAAUUUUUGUACAUGUACGUGAAACGUAGCUCGAGGCGCACUCCGUUGAAAAUGUAUAGGUGGCGCUAUCGAGGCAUUUUGCCACACCCAAUGGAAUAUUGGCCUUCAGAUGUGUUCAGGCCAGGACUCUUAUCGAACAUGUGAAGUUUGGGCAAGAUCAGACAUUUUAUGCCUGAGUUACAAUAACUUUUAUUCCCAUGGCGAGACAUCGAACUUUGUGACGGCGCCAUGGACACACCCUUUAACGAAAACUCAAGAUCUUCACAAUUUAACAUCGCAC
This is a long non-coding RNA of Cyprinus carpio carpio, 454 nucleotides long. Lineage: Eukaryota; Metazoa; Chordata; Actinopteri; Cypriniformes; Cyprinidae. The record is from Ensembl.